GAGAGUUUGAUCCCGGCUCAGAAUCAACGCUGGCGGCGCGCCUAACACAUGCAAGUCGAACGAGAAAGGGGAGCAAUCCCUGAGUAAAGUGGCGCACGGGUGAGUAACACGUGGGUAACCUACCCUCCAGUGGGGAAUAACCCUGGGAAACCGGGGCUAAUACCGCAUACGUCCGGGCGGACGAAUGUCCGGCCGGGGAAAGCCUUCGGGCGCUGGAGGAGGGGCCCGCGGCCGAUUAGCUAGUUGGCAGGGUAAUGGCCUACCAAGGCGAAGAUCGGUAGCCGGCCUGAGAGGGCACACGGCCACACUGGCACUGAGACACGGGCCAGACUCCUACGGGAGGCAGCAGUGGGGAAUCUUGCACAAUGGGGGAAACCCUGAUGCAGCGACGCCGCGUGAGCGAUGAAGCCCUUCGGGGUGUAAAGCUCUUUCGGCAGGAACGAUCAUGACGGUACCUGCGGAAGAAGCUGCGGCUAACUACGUGCCAGCAGCCG
Molecule: ribosomal RNA, 494 nt
Filed under: Bryobacteraceae bacterium
Lineage: Bacteria; Pseudomonadati; Acidobacteriota; Terriglobia; Bryobacterales; Bryobacteraceae
Description: bacterial SSU rRNA
Rfam family: Bacterial small subunit ribosomal RNA
Source: RNAcentral